CUCUCUCAGACAAAAAAAAAACCACCACGGCUUGCAGUCAGCCGGACCUCCACCCACCACGACCUCAGCCAGAGCUCAGCCGGACCUCCCACACACUCAACCGACCUCCACAUUCAUUUUUCUCACCCAAAAGCAAUGGAUGGCUCCAGAGCUCGUUCUCCCAUUGUCCGAGCAUUUUCCAGGGCAUAUCACCUACAGAGAGAACGAGUACUUCAGUGCUAUAAAGGAUAAGUUCGAAGCCUUUAAGUUGACUGAUAAGGUGAAGGAAAGUCCCUUCGGAUCUUUUUGGAAUGCCAGUAUUCUUCAAUUCUCCGGGGUGAUUGUGCAUCAACUGUUAUUGAGGAAAAAGAAGGUCAGUGAAGUUAAAAACGAUGAAGUGUGGUUUUACGUGGGUAAAACGGAAGCCAGAUUUGGGAGGUCUGAGUUCAGUUUGAUCACAGGCCUAAAGAUGAGCGGUGGCCCCUCGACAGCAGAAUUGAAUACAUGUAACAGACUUCUAAUUUGUACGAUAUUGAACGAUAUGUGUGCGAUUUUAAAUUUGUACGACUUUAUUUGUACUUUUUUCUGAUUUGAAAGGCACUUGGUGCCUUUCAUGUACAUGUAACAAACUUCUAAUUUCAGUUCAUACACCAAAGGAUCCA
Humulus lupulus (European hop) is the source of this 641-nucleotide long non-coding RNA. RefSeq lists it as uncharacterized. The transcript has 2 exons. The record is from RefSeq and is a predicted model, not a curated record. NCBI's taxonomy places the organism in Eukaryota, Viridiplantae, Streptophyta, Magnoliopsida, Rosales, Cannabaceae.